UACGUAGGGUGCAAGCGUUGUCCGGAAUUAUUGGGCGUAAAGAGCUCGUAGGCGGUCUGUCGCGUCGGCUGUGAAAACCCGGAGCUCAACUCCGAGCCUGCAGUCGAUACGGGCAGACUGGAGUUCGGCAGGGGAGACUGGAAUUCCUGGUGUAGCGGUGAAAUGCGCAGAUAUCAGGAGGAACACCGGUGGCGAAGGCGGGUCUCUGGGCCGAUACUGACGCUGAGGAGCGAAAGCGUGGGGAGCGAACAGG
This 253-nucleotide ribosomal RNA is filed under the name uncultured bacterium. RNAcentral's name for it is "partial 16S ribosomal RNA". It matches the Rfam family "Bacterial small subunit ribosomal RNA", at positions 524 to 776 of the family's 1533-position model. The record is from RNAcentral.